Oncorhynchus masou masou (cherry salmon) is the source of this 1681-nucleotide RNA transcript. It is a transcript of the gene named ADP-sugar pyrophosphatase-like, with no coding region annotated. The record is from RefSeq and is a predicted model, not a curated record. Lineage: Eukaryota; Metazoa; Chordata; Actinopteri; Salmoniformes; Salmonidae. The transcript has 8 exons.
UUUUGCGUUGCACACGUAGGCGUGAUCAAUGUUGGGGGCUUUAAUUUUUUUUCCCUCAGGGAGUCUUCACUUCUUUAACUUGACUUGUGGCUAAAACCACUUCAUCUUCAUAUAAACGAAAUCCUCCAUCCAUUUCCCUGAGAACAGUACUGGAAAGAUGAGCAGCCCUCCCAAAUCGACAACCAUACCUAACGUUGUAAAGGAGGAGGUCAUUGCAUCUGGGAAAUGGUUGAAACUUGAGAAGACCACCUAUGUGGACCCUGUUGGAAACACAAGAACUUGGGAGACUAUGAAAAGGACAACCAGACAGGCCAAUGCAGCAGAUGGUGUGGGAAUCAUCGCCCUUCUGAAGAGGACCCUCCACAAGGACUGCGUUGUCAUGGUGAAGCAGUUCCGUCCACCAAUAGGGUGCUGUACCCUAGAGUUCCCUGCAGGUCUGAUUGACGAGGGUGAGAGUGCAGAGAUUGCUGCUCUGCGAGAGCUGAAGGAGGAGACUGGUUACAAGGGGGAGGUGGUAGGAGUCACCCCAGUGACCUGCUUGGACCCUGGCCUCUCUAACUGCACCACACAGAUCGUCAUGGUUAACAUCAAUGGAGAUGACCUUGAAAACACCAACCCCACACAGCAACUGGGUACUUUACGGGUCACGCUCUUGGAAUGUUAUGAUUUUUUUUUUAAACGUAUUGUCAAGCUGAUAUGUAUUUUACAUGUUGUCCUAAAUGUGUACUUAUUUCUCUGCUUUCCUCCCUCUUUUACUCGUUUCCAGGUGAUGGAGGUAAAUAUUAUUUUCUUUAUAAUCACACUUUCAGUUAUUUUUCCACUAUUAGUAUAACAUUGAACCAAAUCGUAUUCUGGCUUCUAUUUUACUUCCAGAAUUUGUUGAAGUUCUUCUUUUACCUCUUGAUGAAUUCCAGAGGGAAAUUGAUGACCUGAUGAAGAAGGAGAAGAUUGUGGUGGACUCUAAGGUUUACAUCUACGGCAUGGGGAUGUCCCAGGCCUUCUUUAAACCCAAUGAACUCCGAGUGCUCAAACAGUGAGAGAAGGAUGGGAAGAGAAAGUAAAGUGGAGAGAGUAGACUAGAUGGAUGUGAAUAGAGGGAGAGGGAAUUAGGUUGCCGACUCGUUUGUUGUCGUCUCUCUGUUACACUACGAAUAUGGACGAAGCCAGGGAUGAAACUGUCAACAGGGUGGCCAUUUUAUGGCUUUAAGCUGUUGUCUUGGGGAUCAGUCAAUGAGAUUCAUAGAGUGUUACCCUACAGCUUGUAUUAUCCAAGACCAACCACUUUUAUGCACCUUUACCUGUGGGGAUAGUCCUAAUUAGAUACCAUACUUGUGAUUAAUGUGAUAUUACAUGCUGUCUGAUAAUACAAAUUCUUACACUGAUAGGAAUAUAAUUGCUAAAUGACAACUGAGUACAUACUGGUACAUUCCUAACUUUCACUAACUCAAAUGACUAAGCUUCACUGUAAAAUAACUUUUAAAAGGUACUGUUAUAAUAAUAUGCCUUGAAAGAUGUUACUCGCAACGGCAAUAGUUUGGUGCAUUUAUGUUUACAUCCAUUAGUUCACACCAAUGCAUAGUUGUAGAUGUCUUCUUACUGGUAUAAGGUUGACAUGCAGAUGAUCCUCACAUUUUAUUUAGCAAUUAUCAGUAAUUGAAUUAACUUGAUGUCAAUAAACAUG